CGCUGUGCACCUAUAUGCUAUAUACAAUGUAUAUAUUUCUGGAAAAAUAUACUAGUGCAGAAGAGCAGCAGGCCUGGCCCAUUUAUUAAAAAGGAAACAAGUCACGCACAAACAUCAAUCCCUUCUCCUUCGCUGGCUCCUUGAAUUACGCCUCGCCCCAAGGGACCCCGACGGACCUACAACGGCAGGGACGCGAGAGCAACUGCAGCAUGGCCGUCCGAGCCGUGUUCAUGGUGAAGGGCAGGCGGUGGAGAUGUGAAGUCCAGGCACUGUUCAAGUCAGGUAAUUCUGCAGGUUGUGGCAUUGCAAGAAUUUUCAUUAUUGGGUAGAUGGAGCAUAUAAUUUCUUCUAAUUUACUCCAAAACCAAGAUUUAAGAAAUCAGGUUCUCUCCUUUUUUUUGUAACAAUGUUGCCA
Molecule: long non-coding RNA, 415 nt
Organism: Triticum aestivum (bread wheat)
Lineage: Eukaryota; Viridiplantae; Streptophyta; Magnoliopsida; Poales; Poaceae
Exons: 3
Source: RefSeq, a predicted model, not a curated record